RNAcentral lists this ribosomal RNA (91 nucleotides) under Acinetobacter baumannii. RNAcentral describes it as "partial 16S ribosomal RNA". It matches the Rfam family "Bacterial small subunit ribosomal RNA", at positions 1443 to 1533 of the family's 1533-position model. The record is from RNAcentral. RNAcentral also lists the same sequence under 1 other name. Lineage: Bacteria; Pseudomonadati; Pseudomonadota; Gammaproteobacteria; Moraxellales; Moraxellaceae.
AAAGAGGGCGGUUACCACGGUGUGGCCGAUGACUGGGGUGAAGUCGUAACAAGGUAGCCGUAGGGGAACCUGCGGCUGGAUCACCUCCUUA